CGCUUUUUGUAAAUAUAAAAAGUCUUGCCUGCCCAGUGUAAAUGAAAGUAAUAAACGGCCGCAGUAUCCUGACUGUGCUAAGGUAGCAUAGUAAUUUGCCCCUUAAUUAGUGGAUAGAAUGAAUGGUUUGACGAAAGCAUAGCUGUUUCUAAUGUAUUACACAUAAUUUAUCUUUUAGGUUAAAAUUCCUAAAUUUAAUUGAGGGACGAGAAGACCCUAUUGAAUUUAAAAAAAAUGUUUUAAUAAGAUCUAUUAUUAAAAUCCGUUUAUUAAACAAUAAUUUUGGUUGGGGCAACCCAGGAACAAAAAGAGCUUCCUGUUUAGUAAAAAAAUGAUUGUUUUAGAUCCAGUAAGAUAAUAUUGAUAAGAAGAAUUAAUUACCAUAGGGAUAACAGCGUAAUUUUUCUUGAGAGACCUAAUCGAAAGAAAAGCUUGCGACCUCGAUGUUGGAUUAGGGUAUUUAAAGGGUGUAGGGACUCUUAUAAUUGGUCUGUUCGACCAUUAAAACCCU
RNAcentral lists this ribosomal RNA (511 nucleotides) under Chondrocyclus bathrolophodes. RNAcentral's name for it is "partial 16S ribosomal RNA". It matches the Rfam family "Bacterial large subunit ribosomal RNA", at positions 1831 to 2597 of the family's 2925-position model. Lineage: Eukaryota; Metazoa; Mollusca; Gastropoda; Architaenioglossa; Cyclophoridae. The record is from RNAcentral.